GGUUAAGCGACUAAGCGUACACGGUGGAUGCCCUGGCAGUCAGAGGCGAUGAAGGGCGUGCUAAUCUGCGAUAAGCGCCGGUAAGGUGAUAUGAACCGUUAUAACCGGCGAUACCCGAAUGGGGAAACCCAGUGUGAUUCGUCACACUAUCAUUAACUGAAUCCAUAGGUUAAUGAGGCGAACCGGGGGAACUGAAACAUCUAAGUACCCCGAGGAAAAGAAAUCAACCGAGAUUCCCCCAGUAGCGGCGAGCGAACGGGGAGGAGCCCAGAGCCUGAAUCAGCAUGUGUGUUAGUGGAAGCGUCUGGAAAGGCGCGCGAUACAGGGUGACAGCCCCGUACACAAAAGCGCAUGUGCUGUGAGCUCGAUGAGUAGGGCGGGACACGUGGUAUCCUGUCUGAAUAUGGGGGGACCAUCCUCCAAGGCUAAAUACUCCUGACUGACCGAUAGUGAACCAGUACCGUGAGGGAAAGGCGAAAAGAACCCCGGCGAGGGGAGUGAAAAAGAACCUGAAACCGUGUACGUACAAGCAGUGGGAGCACAGGUUUACCUGUGUGACUGCGUACCUUUUGUAUAAUGGGUCAGCGACUUAUAUUCUGUAGCAAGGUUAACCGAAUAGGGGAGCCGGAGGGAAACCGAGUCUUAAUUGGGCGUUAAGUUGCAGGGUAUAGACCCGAAACCCGGUGAUCUAGCCAUGGGCAGGUUGAAGGUUGGGUAACACUAACUGGAGGACCGAACCGACUAAUGUUGAAAAAUUAGCGGAUGACCUGUGGCUGGGGGUGAAAGGCCAAUCAAACCGGGAGAUAGCUGGUUCUC
RNAcentral lists this ribosomal RNA (816 nucleotides) under Salmonella enterica subsp. enterica. RNAcentral describes it as "partial 23S ribosomal RNA". It matches the Rfam family "Bacterial large subunit ribosomal RNA", at positions 1 to 857 of the family's 2925-position model. The record is from RNAcentral. Lineage: Bacteria; Pseudomonadati; Pseudomonadota; Gammaproteobacteria; Enterobacterales; Enterobacteriaceae.